UAUUGUCAUUUGGGCGUUGAACCUCAUUCACUUACAUUACGGCGCGUCGAUUAGUUCCAGAGGUCAUGCUGGACCUCCAGGAUUGUUGUUGUGGCCAUCACCAGUCCUGUCUGGACUGGUUUCCAGCUGCCCUUGGGACCGAUCUUCAGGCCCCGAAACAGAUGGAUGGAGUCCCGGAGGAAGCUGAUGGCCUUAUCAUACAUCAUCUGUCUCACUCUGUCUGUUAUGUCCCUUUCAUUCCCUUGGAACUCCACCUCAAUAUCUCCCUGAAUCUCUGUAACAAUAACAAGGCAAUCUUGCUGUUAUAUGUGUAUGCUGCCUUUACACGUGCACCUAUUGUCAUUAAAGGGUACACUACACUCCUAUAGUGACAUUCAUCUAAGUUCGUCUAUUGGCAAUGUUAAAGUAUGAAAAAAUCUGUAGAUGAUCUACAUGUGGUAUAUGAGUCUUCAGAGAAUCCCUGAACCCUGGUAGUUUUGAAGCUGUAUAAUCUGAAGGUUGCAUUAGGAGUGUAGUCUAUCCUUGAAUUAUAUAACAUGGGAAACAUUGUUAGCUUCAUAUAUCAUACCAAUGUUUGAUGUGCCAUAAUAGCUGUGGUCAUCAUUCCUGACAGCUGGAGGCAUACUCCUUGACGUGGAUUUCCUCCUUUUCGGCUUAGGCCGAUGUAUAAAUAUUGUUGGAACAGCAUCUGGCCUCAACCUCAAAUUUCCUCCUGAUUUGUUGCCAAUAUAUUGGUCGUCUUCAAAGUGUACCUGUAGGUAGGUAGGUUUCAUCAGUUUCCACUGCACACUUCAAAUGUCAUUGUAGAGUCAUAAUUCUCUACACUUGGAAAUAUGAUGCCCUUUAAAAUGUGAACAAGUCAUGUCACCUCUGUGGACAUUACUUACAUGACAGAGUUUUCUGCUGUUGUUGUCCUCUGUCAGACACAGGUUUUGUCUGUUGACCAUUGCCAUCCAUCUCUUCCUUGGCUCUACGUCCUUAGGGAAGCCAUACACCCGGAACCCAUUCUCGUAUUGAUUAGAGCAUCCAAAUGCUGCACAUCCAACCAUGGGCCCAGGAAACAGAUGAAGAGGAUGUCCCUUUCACAAAGGAACCUUUUUGUUUUUUUCAAAAUGGUUAGGCUCCUGAUGCCCUAGAGUUCUGUAUUGCUUUUUUAUAAAUAGUUGCUUACCCUAACCCUUUUUUGUAAAUAGUAUUGCUUUUUUAUAAAUAGUUGUUUGUAAACAUGGUUCAACAGGAGCUUCUGUAAAUAGUUUGAAUAUUUAUCAUAGUAAUCAU
Molecule: long non-coding RNA, 1278 nt
Organism: Gymnodraco acuticeps
Lineage: Eukaryota; Metazoa; Chordata; Actinopteri; Perciformes; Bathydraconidae
Exons: 3
Source: RefSeq, a predicted model, not a curated record